UCCAGACUCCUACGGGAGGCAGCAGUGGGGAAUAUUGCACAAUGGGGGAAACCCUGAUGCAGCGACGCCGCGUGAGUGAAGAAGUAUCUCGGUACGUAAAGCUCUAUCAGCAGGGAAGAAAAUGACGGUACCUGACUAAGAAGCCCCGGCUAACUACGUGCCAGCAGCCGCGGUAAUACGUAGGGGGCAAGCGUUAUCCGGAUUUACUGGGUGUAAAGGGAGCGUAGACGGCAGCACAAGUCUGGAGUGAAAUCCCGAGGCUUAACCCCGGAACUGCUUUGGAAACUGUGCGGCUGGAGUGCAGGAGGGGUAAGCGGAAUUCCUAGUGUAGCGGUGAAAUGCGUAGAUAUUAGGAGGAACACCGGUGGCGAAGGCGGCUUACUGGACUGUAACUGACGUUGAGGCUCGAAAGCGUGGGGAGCAAACAGGAUUAGAUACCCCGGUA
RNAcentral lists this ribosomal RNA (445 nucleotides) under uncultured bacterium. RNAcentral's name for it is "bacterial SSU rRNA". It matches the Rfam family "Bacterial small subunit ribosomal RNA", at positions 330 to 792 of the family's 1533-position model. The record is from RNAcentral.